Molecule: unclassified non-coding RNA, 920 nt
Filed under: Melitaea cinxia (Glanville fritillary)
Lineage: Eukaryota; Metazoa; Arthropoda; Insecta; Lepidoptera; Nymphalidae
Description: misc RNA ENSMCXG00005018820.1
Source: RNAcentral
CCGCACACGUGAAGGCUAUUUAAUAACGUCUGGGUGGUAGAGCCGCGGACCGCGUGGCUCAAUGGCGCGGGGCGGCGCCGGAGCCUCAGUUGCGCUUCACGCCCCGGAGGGGCUGCACGUGUCCUCGAUCCCGCUCGCGACUUAUGUAACCAUCCGCACGGUGAGUCUGCAGCCUCCGAGCCCCUUCCACCGUCGCUCGCCUCCAUCGACCCCUCGAAGCGACCCACGCGCGCUAAUCCACAACGUCGACAAUCGCGAACGUUCGCGGAACCGGCCGAUUCAUAUCGACUGAUAAGCUCACCUCCAACCCUCACGUUGUGCAAUAACCGUCAGCUGUGAGGUGAUAUAAUCGAUGCAGUAAGCACCGGUGCUAGAUUCGACAGACAGCGGAUAAAACAGGCUAAUUAGGUUUUUUAAUAUUAAUUAAAUCGACUUACGAAGCGCCUUCAAAUAACCCUAAAAAUAUCGUGAUAGAUAGGUUAAGUAAUAAUUACAAUAAGUGAACACAAGUGCCAAGUCGCAUUAUUCGUAGCAGCGCGUUUAUCAGUGGAUGCAUCUAGCGAGACAGUCAACGGUACCAUUUAUGGGCGUUAACAAUCGGACUGGUGAUAUAGUCUAGCGUUUGAGGAUUAGGUGUACCGUGAAGAGUCAGCUUCGGCCAGACUGUGCCCGGUCGGCAAGAUUGAAGUGGUGGCCGGGUGCGGGUGGGGAAGGCGCGCGCGCGUGCGGCCCUUCGCGCUGGGCCGCGUGGCCGGCAUGUUGGCGUCGCAGCGCUCGCAGUCGUGCAACGAGGAAGGCGCGUUCUUCGGCGCGCGCGCGCUUCGCCGGCCGCGCGGCAAGGGAAGCGGCAGUCCGCCCUGCUAGGGGUACGCCAUGUCGCUGCGCAGCCUACACCGGAGGCUCUCCUCCGCCAACAACAC